GCCCGCCUGGGCUAAGGCAGAGGUUUUCGUGAGCCCACCGAUCACCGGAGCCACUAGCCACUCACCCAGCGUGGGGAAUAGUAUGAGACCGUGUCUAAAAUAAAAAACUAUUUGUGUUAGAAUAAAAUUCAAGCCAGCUUCAGCCACCAAAUUGUGGUCUUCAGCAAGUCUCUUCACUUCCAUAAAUCUCAGUUUCCUCAUCUGUAGUGUGGAUUGCUUUGAAAAUUGAGUGAAAAUAUGAGUGUCUGUUUUCUUUUUGCAUCAGAUGUUCAUCCACUUUCCCCUCCCUUUCUUAUGCUGGUUCAGGAUAUUGGGUUCCAUGAUGCAAUCCCAAAGUACAGAGGAAGAAGUGAGCCAGAGUCUUCAUCACAGGCCCAUUCCUGGGCACAAAGCAAUUCUGAUAGAAUCUUCUAGGGGAGGAGCAAAGAAGUGAGGCCACGAGCAGGCAGGUGGAGCAGCAACCCCAAGGCCUUCCCUGACGCUGCAGCCCACCGGGACCCCAGCCAGCCAAUUCCGGUGGGCUCUGUUCAAGGUUCUCCACCGUCCUCCAGAUCUGGGUUGUAGUAGUAAUUACGGUGACCUUCAUUUUCAAAGCCUGAUCUCCAAGGCCCUGGAGGUCAUGGUGAGACUCUUUCAUCUGGAAGUCAAGUCAAGGGGUUUAUUGCCUGGGGCCAAGAGCAGCUUAAACCAUCUCUUACAGUGGAGAUCAAGAGAGUCCUUCCAUCCAUCUGCUGGGCCUGCUGGGCCUCAGGGCUUUCUCCGAAGUGGUAGGAGGAAGAUGUCACAGAAAAUGUAAAGAAAAGUCUACCUCGGCAGUCUACAGGGUGGUGGAUAAAAGAAGAGCAGGAACAGUCUGGCGUGGCAAUCAGCCUGAUGUAGGUGCUGAGUGUUCUUCACAAAGCCCCAGCAUGAAAGGGGUGGCUGAGAGCAGGCUCCAAGUCCAUGGUGCUAGAGCGAGGCCAGACUGAGGCAGGGCUGGAAGUGGUUGCAUGGAUGGCACUACAGGUUCUUAGAGGGGUCUAAUCUGGGUCCGUUGGGGGCUAUGCCACACAAGAGUGGUUCCUGUGCCCACAGGUCCCACCAUGAACCUCCCAGCCCCAGGCCUGAGCUCAUAAGCAAGCAGGGAGUCCAGAAGCCAAGCAGCCAAGGGCAUCCCUGACACCCAAAGCAAUGCUACCACAUGCAAGGACAGCCAGGCAGAUCCAAGCUGGGGGCUGGACAGUGCCCACGGAGCCAUUUAAAGUUUUGUGUAUGUUUUUUUCCCUCGUUUUUAAUUUCGUUUGAUUCUUAUGUACAAUAAAGUAUUGUGUAUGUCUAAAGUACACAGUACUUUAAAUCACACGGGCCAUUUAAUUGGGUUCUGUUGGUUUGUUUGCUUUGCUUUCCUGCUAGUAAUAGAAAGUAAUUGAGGAAGGCAAGAAAGGAUAUAAACAAAAUAAGAAACGACACUUUCUUUGCACAUCCAAAUUGUGGCAAGGAUUAUUGCAGGUAAGUUCCAGGUGGACAGGAAGUACAUUCACACACACAUGUGCACACAUCCAUCUGCUGGGAGCCUCUGAUUUGUGUAGUUGAGGUACAGAACUUAAGAGAAGUGAGAGUUGAAGUAGGGCAAGAGAACAUUCACAAAUGUCCAACUAGCUCCUGGUUCUUUUUCUUUUUUUUAACAGAUGGUAUAGCCCACAAGACCCUAAGAUACUUAUUAUCCGGCAUUUAACAGAAAAUGUGCCUACCAAUUUCAGAAAUAAUACAUCAUCAUUAUCAACUUUAUAUGCAGAAAUGUUCAUAAUCAUAUCUUAACAGUUUUGAAUAAAUGGUCCUAAACAUAGUGACUUGCUCUUUCAUUCUACAGACCAGCCCAAGAUAUACAAGAUAUUCAAAAAGACUCAAUGUAUAUAACUGUCCCUGCAUGUACAAAAAAUAAAGGAUUUUUAACAUAUUCACGAUCAAGCAUGACCUCGAGGAAGGGGGCUGGGAGGUUAACACUUGCAACAACAUGAGCAUUCUCCAAACUCACAGAAAACAAAUUUACCUCAGUAAAUAGUCUACAUGUACUACAGGCUCUGGAAAAAUCUGCUCUAAAAAUUCUUCACCUUCAUCUCCUUUUGAUUUCAAAUAUUCACAAAGAGCACACCCAUGCACAGCAAUUUCAGGAGGUAAUGUUUCCACUGGAAUCCAUUCCUCCACUCACAAGAAAGAGCGUAAGAGAGGCUGGGCGCGGUGGCUCACGCCUGUAAUCCCAGCACUUUGGGAGGCUGAGGCGGGCAGAUCACGAGGUCAGGAGAUCGAGAUCAUCCUGGCUAACACUGUGAAACCCCGUCUCUACCAAAAAUACAAAAAAUGAGCCCGGCGUGGUGGCGGGCGCCUGUAGUCCCAGCUACUCGGGAGGCUGAGGCAGGAGAAUGGUGUGAACCUGGGAGGCGGAGCUUACAGUGAGCUGAGAUCGCGCCACUGCACUCCAGCCUGGGCGACAGAGCGAGACUCCGUCUCAAAAAAAAAAAAAAAAAAAAACCAUUUCGGAUGCAGGGCUUUAGAGAACACCCUGGACAAUCUCAAGACAACUUGUUGUAGUUGGACUUUUUCCCCCUUGGUGGAACAAAUGUUUUGGAUCCUAACCCCAAAUGGUACAACCCUUCUG
Molecule: long non-coding RNA, 2635 nt
Organism: Macaca mulatta (Rhesus monkey)
Lineage: Eukaryota; Metazoa; Chordata; Mammalia; Primates; Cercopithecidae
Source: Ensembl